Macrosteles quadrilineatus (aster leafhopper) is the source of this 3028-nucleotide RNA transcript. It is a transcript of the gene named RNA-binding protein spenito, with no coding region annotated. The record is from RefSeq and is a predicted model, not a curated record. The transcript is spliced from 2 exons. NCBI's taxonomy places the organism in Eukaryota, Metazoa, Arthropoda, Insecta, Hemiptera, Cicadellidae.
CUGCCCGUUCGCCAUGUUGGAUGUUGCGCGUCAGUGUCGUUAAGUUCUUAAUUUAUCGUUUUAGUAACGUUUAAGUUUGUUUUACGGGAUUAAAUUUAUCUUUUGUUUGUGUGAUGAUAAUCACAAUUGAUGCACGGGAUUUCUGAUAGUGAAAAGAAAAGGAUUACUGUAAAAAUUCGCAAUAUGAAAAGGAGCCCCAGCCGUGAUACACCGCCAUUGAGAAGCAAGAGAUCUCGUUCGAGCAUCGGAAGAUACGAUGAUAGUUCUGAUGAGCGAAUAACACCGGAAAGAAUUCGACGACGAAGUCGUGGCCGUUCACCUCCAAGCCCUAGAAGAUAUACGUCAGAUUCUCAUCGAGACGAGUAUGCUCGCUCAAGGGAUGUGGAAAGGUCCUAUCACAGUUAUAAGGUUUUGUGUGUCAGUGCCUUACAUCCCAAAGCUAGCGAUGAGCUUAUUAAGGAUACUCUGUACCGGGAAUAUAAAAAGUUUGGUGAUUUAAGCAUAAGGAUAUCUCAUGACUUAGAUGAACGUGUUGCUUAUGUUUGUUUUCGGAGUUCUGAUGAUGCAAGAGAUGCCAAACACAGCAAGCCUAGGAUAAUUCUUUUUGACAAGGUCGCUUUGGUUGAACCUGUGUAUGAAAGUAGUCGCAGUUCGAGUGAUAUCUAUCGAAGUCGUAGUAGGCCUAGAUCAAGGAGUUUAUCUCCAGAUUAUGACCGUUACUAUCAUCGCUCUCCUGGACCAGACAGACACCGCCCCCCUCCUGACCGAAGCUAUGAAAGAUUGUAUGGACCGCCACCAGUCUUGCCACACAGGGAUUUCAGAAGAGAAGGACCGCCUCUACCACACCAUGACUUUAUUAGAGGACCCCCUGUCCAUCAUGGACCUCCUCCACAUAUGCCACCAGGACCUCCUCAUCAUUACGGCCCUCCUCGUCACAUGGUACAUGGAUUCAAACCCCCGCCUCCACACUUUGAGAAGACUGAAAACAAAAAAGAUAAAUUCCCUAAUUAUCUUCAUCAUGUCCCCCCAGAAGAUGAUCCUUUAGCGACUAGGACUUUAUUCGCUGGUAAUCUCGAGAUUAAUAUAUCUGAAGAAGAACUAAGAAGAAUAUUUGGACGAUAUGGCGUUGUUGAGGAUAUUGACAUCAAAAGACCACUCCCCGGAACAGGUAAUGCAUACGCUUUUGUACGUUACCAGAAUCUUGAUAUGGCCCAUCGCUCCAAAGUAGAACUCUCUGGUCAGUAUAUAGGAAAGUUUCAAUGUAAAAUUGGUUAUGGAAAAGCGACUCCCACUACUCGAAUUUGGGUUGGUGGUCUUGGACCUUGGACUUCUUUAUCUCAACUAGAGAGAGAGUUUGAUAGAUUUGGUGCAAUCAAGAAAAUAGACUAUAUUAAAGGAGAGACCUGUGCUUAUAUUUUGUAUGAUUCCAUCGACGCUGCUCAAGCUGCUGUUAAAGAAAUGAGAGGAUUCCCACUAGGUGGCCCAGAUCGCAAGUUAAGGGUCGAUUUUGCUGAUGUUAACCCACCUUAUCCCUACAAACCUAGACCUUUCCCUGAUGACAUGGCUGGUGGUGAUUUUAGAGUUAGAGUUCCAGGAAGAGAAGACUUUCCUUAUGAGCCACCUUACGGUGAACCUUGGCCUGAAGGAGAGUUCGGAAUGGCAAGGGGAUUUCGUGGUCGAGGAGGUGGACCUUGGCAAGAUAGGCGUGGUGGUGGUCGAGGUGGUUAUAGAGGAUCAGGAUAUCCUGGAGAAGGGUUUAGUAAAGAUGACCCUGAUUGGCCUGGUGGACGCAGACCAGAUGGUGAAUAUGAUGGGAGGUCAUUCAAACGUGGAUCUGGUGAGCCUGGAAAUCGUUCUACUUCACGUUCUCCACGUCGUCAUUCUGUGGAAAGCGACUCUGGAUCAGAGGGACGCCCAAAUGGUGUUUUAGGCUCAGCUAGAACUUUGCCGGAAUUGGCCCGAAAGUGUAUUGCCAUGUGGCAAGGUGCACUUAUUCUGAAGAACUCGCUGUUUCCUGCCAAAUUUCAUCUGACGGAUGGAGACACAGAAAUUGUUGACAGCCUAAUGAAAGAUGAAGAAGGAAAGCAUUUGCUUCGCAUAACACAACGGCUCAGACUUGACCCUCCAAAAUUAGAAGAUGUAUCAAAACGCAUUGCAACCUCCAGCUCUCACGCCAUAUUUCUGGGACUUUCAGGUUCAUCUGCUUCGGUUUCCACUGAAGAUACAUCAGUUCAAACUAGGCCCCUCAGGAAUCUUGUUUCUUACCUAAAGCAGAAAGAAGCUGCUGGGGUAAUAUCAUUGGUCAAUAAAGAUACUGAAACGACUGGUGUUUUGUAUGCAUUUCCACCAUGUGCAUUUUCCACGGAACUGCUAAAGAGAACUGCCCACAACCUGUCUGAUGAGGGUUUGAAAGAAGAUCAUCUGGUUAUAGUGGUGGUUCGAGGCGGCACUGCUUAAACCUUGGAAUCAGUAGGCCUACGAGUAUGAAUUACAUUAUGAUACCUACUUAAGCUACCAUAUCGGUUUUGUGAAGUCGGGGGCGAUUCCUUGUGGACUACCAAGUGGUGAAGUUAUUGUGACCAGUUUAUGAAGCUUUUGUCGGUGUUUCAUCUGUGUUUGUGCGCAAUGGACUAAUAUCAUUAUCAACGCUAAGUGUUUAAACAUUUUGAUCAAACGAUUGUUUAGAUCUUUGAUGUUUGACGGUCAGGUGUAAAGAAAUUGAUUUUACUGUAAAUUAUUGUGACAAUGCUUGUUUACGUUUUGUUCAGUUUUCUUAUAUUUUCAAGAAUAAUAUAUUAUUGAUUAUAAACUAAUAUCUAGGUAUAAGUAGGAAUUCAAUCUCUCUUUUUUGACAUUUUUUUUGUUGUUCGAAACAUUUAAUUUAAAUCAUGUGUUAAGUGAUUUACUCAAAGUUUUAUCUAUUUACAAGUUAAUUAAUUUUUCCUGUAGACCAGCUGUUAAAAGUGCAGUGUGAUGUGUAUUUUAUUAGUGUGUAGGAAGUUGUCAAAUAGAGUUUGGUUCUAAACUA